AAAGGUUGAACACACUCAAAAAACAAAAGGGUGCACAAACAUAGACUCAAAAAAAGAAAAGGGUGCACAAACAUAGACUCAAAAAAAAAGAAAAGGGUGCCCGGAGAGAUCUCGCUCAAUCUCCUGCCUACGUAUCUCAUCUGGUAUGAGAAUCAGGGCGACGUAGUUCCCCUUAACAGGGGUACAACUCUCUCCUAACCAGAGACUAGGGAAAC
Molecule: long non-coding RNA, 215 nt
Filed under: Lathyrus oleraceus (garden pea)
Lineage: Eukaryota; Viridiplantae; Streptophyta; Magnoliopsida; Fabales; Fabaceae
Description: Pisum sativum (pea) long non-coding RNA (PSAT_LNC034611)
Source: RNAcentral